This is a long non-coding RNA of Carassius auratus (goldfish), 1156 nucleotides long. RefSeq lists it as uncharacterized. NCBI's taxonomy places the organism in Eukaryota, Metazoa, Chordata, Actinopteri, Cypriniformes, Cyprinidae. The record is from RefSeq and is a predicted model, not a curated record. The transcript has 2 exons.
GCCCUGCCUAUUUUUCUCUUAUUUUGGUUAAGGUUGCAGGUUCCUCCUGGAUGGGCGGGAUUCCAGUGUUAAUUAUUGGCACCUGUGGCACCCUAUUUAAGAGGCUCAUGGAGCUGUGAUCACUCUCUCUCAUUUUUGGUUUGUUUGUUUGAAGAGUGGGUUGAUAUUUUGUGUUCACAUUUGUUUUCCACAACUCCACAAACCCAAUUUCUAACAGCUAUUUGAUUUGAUUCAUUUGUUAUUCUUUAAUACUUUGACCCUAGACAUUAUUUGAUUAAUUUGAAAUAAAUUUAUAAUUGUAUUGAAACCUAUUUUUGUCUAAGUGCCCUCUUUAUGUUGUGACUUUGAGCCGGGUCGUAACAUAAAUUGGGGGCUCGUCCGGGAUCAAAUUCUUGUUUGAAGUUGGGGUUUUGUGACUUGUUUUUCAAGUUUUUUGAGAGUGGAGCAUGGAAAAGGUUCAUAGUUAUUGGAUUAAUAGAGGACUCCGGUUAGGUAGAGUGGUCCAGCUGGGUUGCUAGUCAAUCCUUCCAACGGAGCACUGUUUGUUUUGUUAGUUUGUUUUGUUAGUUUGUUAUUUUUGAAGGUAUCCCGGGUGGAGAUUUAAUCUCUGUUGGGGGUGCGCUAUUCAGGGCCUGGUUUUUACCAGGUGACAUGAAGUUCAGCGUUUAAAGUGGCCCCGAGCCUGGUAAGCCUUUGAAGAUUAGAGAGGUUCGUUUUUUUUUGUUUGUGUAGUGUUUUACCGGAGUGGUUCUCUAGUAUCCAUGCCAAUUGGUGUGGUACUUUGAAUCAAUGGCUAGUGUUGGGAACUUGUGAAAUUUAUUUUGUUUGUUUGCUUUUGAGAGAGCAUUUUUUUUCAUCCCCACUUUCUUCAAAUUGGUUGCAGGUUCCUCCUGGAUGGGCGGGAUUCCAGUGUUAAUUAUUGGCACCUGUGGCACCCUAUUUAAGAGGCUCAUGGAGCUGUGAUCACUCUCUCUCAUUUUUUGGUUUGUUUGUUUGAAGAGUGGGUUGAUAUUUUGUGUUCACAUUUGUUUUCCACAACUCCACAAACCCAAUUUCUAACAGCUAUUUGAUUUGAUUCAUUUGUUAUUCUUUAAUACUUUGACCCUAGACAUUAUUUGAUUAAUUUGAAAUAAAUUUAUAAUUGUAUUGAAACCUA